This 253-nucleotide ribosomal RNA is filed under the name uncultured bacterium. RNAcentral describes it as "partial 16S ribosomal RNA". It matches the Rfam family "Bacterial small subunit ribosomal RNA", at positions 524 to 776 of the family's 1533-position model. The record is from RNAcentral.
GACGAACCGUGCGAACGUUGUUCGGAAUCACUGGGCUUAAAGGGCGCGUAGGCGGUCUGACAAGUCUGGGGUGAAAUGCCGCGGCUCAACCGUGGAACUGCCUCAGAUACUGUCGGCCUCGAGGAAGGUAGGGGCAUGCGGAACUGUAGGUGGAGCGGUGAAAUGCGUUGAUAUCUACAGGAACUCCGGUGGCGAAAGCGGCGUGCUGGACCUUUUCUGACGCUGAGGCGCGAAAGCUAGGGGAGCAAACGGG